AUUGAACGCUGGCGGCAGGCUUAACACAUGCAAGUCGAGCGAGCGGCGGACGGGUGAGUAAUGUCUGGGAAACUGCCCGAUGGAGGGGGAUAACUACUGGAAACGGUAGCUAAUACCGCAUACCAUCAGAUGUGCCCAGAUGGGAUUAGCUAGUGGGUGGGGUAAUGGCUCACCAAGGCAACGAUCCGUAGCUGGUCUGAGAGGAUGACCAGCCACACUGGGACUGAGACACGGCCCAGACUCCUACGGGAGGCAGCAGUGGGGAAUAUUGGACAAUGGGCGAAAGCCUGAUGCAGCCAUGCCGCGUGUAUGAAGAAGGCCUUCGGGUUGUAAAGCACUUUCGGCGGGGAAGCGUUACUCGCAGAAGAAGCACCGGCUAACUCCGUGCCAGCAGCCGCGGUAAUUC
RNAcentral lists this ribosomal RNA (406 nucleotides) under uncultured bacterium. RNAcentral describes it as "partial 16S ribosomal RNA". It matches the Rfam family "Bacterial small subunit ribosomal RNA", at positions 30 to 526 of the family's 1533-position model. The record is from RNAcentral.